GGGGGGAAUAUUGCGGAUAUACCAACCAGAGAGGCUAACUUACUGAAAACACUGCAAAUGAAAUCGGUCUCGAAAACCGGAGUGGGGGCAACUCCACCGGGGGUUCAAAUCCCCCUCUCUCCGCCA
RNAcentral lists this transfer RNA (126 nucleotides) under Salmonella enterica. RNAcentral's name for it is "tRNA-OTHER". RNAcentral also lists the same sequence under 1 other name. The record is from RNAcentral. Lineage: Bacteria; Pseudomonadati; Pseudomonadota; Gammaproteobacteria; Enterobacterales; Enterobacteriaceae.